CUGGCUCUGUAUCAAGGCCAGCAGUUUUCUGAAGCUGCUGGUUUCAAGCAGGAGCCUACAGUGGUAUCUUUCUACGGUCUGUUGGUCAUUUCAGAACUUUAGAAAUGAAAUGGUCAGUUCAUUAGAAAGAAACAACU
This is a small nucleolar RNA of Cavia aperea (Brazilian guinea pig), 137 nucleotides long. The record is from Ensembl. Lineage: Eukaryota; Metazoa; Chordata; Mammalia; Rodentia; Caviidae.